UUGGUUAAGUUAGAAAGGGCGCACGGUGGAUGCCUUGGCACUAGGAGCCGAAGAAGGACGGGACUAACACCGAUAUGCUUUGGGGAGCUGUACGUAAGCGUUGAUCCAGAGAUUUCCGAAUGGGGGAACCCACUAUCUUUAGUCGGAUAGUAUCCUUACGUGAAUACAUAGCGUGAGGAAGGCAGACCCAGGGAACUGAAACAUCUAAGUACCUGGAGGAAGAGAAAGAAAAAUCGAUUUCCUGAGUAGCGGCGAGCGAAACGGAAAGAGCCCAAACCAAGAAGCUUGCUUCUUGGGGUUGUAGGACACUCUAUACGGAGUUACAAAAGAAAGUUAUAAAUGAAGCGGUCUGGAAAGGCCCGCCAAAGACGGUAACAGCCCGGUAGUUGAAAUGGCUUUCCCUCCAGAGUGGAUCCUGAGUACGGCGGAACACGUGAAAUUCCGUCGGAAUCCGGGAGGACCAUCUCCCAAGGCUAAAUACUCCCUAGUGACCGAUAGUGAACCAGUACCGUGAGGGAAAGGUGAAAAGCACCCCGGAAGGGGAGUGAAACAGUUCCUGAAACCGUGUGCCUACAAGUAGUUAGAGCCCGUUAAUGGGUGAUAGCGUGCCUUUUGUAGAAUGAACCGGCGAGUUACGAUUUGUUGCAAGGUUAAGCGGAAAAAGCGGAGCCGUAGCGAAAGCGAGUCUGAAUAGGGCGCAUAAGUAACAGGUCGUAGACCCGAAACCAGGUGAUCUACCCAUGUCCAGGAUGAAGGUAAGGUAAUACUUACUGGAGGUCCGAACCCACGCACGUUGAAAAGUGCGGGGAUGAGGUGUGGGUAGCGGAGAA
This 830-nucleotide ribosomal RNA is filed under the name Listeria monocytogenes. RNAcentral's name for it is "partial 23S ribosomal RNA". It matches the Rfam family "Bacterial large subunit ribosomal RNA", at positions 1 to 825 of the family's 2925-position model. Lineage: Bacteria; Bacillati; Bacillota; Bacilli; Caryophanales; Listeriaceae. The record is from RNAcentral.